This 251-nucleotide ribosomal RNA is filed under the name uncultured prokaryote. RNAcentral describes it as "partial 16S ribosomal RNA". It matches the Rfam family "Bacterial small subunit ribosomal RNA", at positions 525 to 775 of the family's 1533-position model. The record is from RNAcentral.
ACGUAGGAGGCAAGCGUUAUCCGGAGUUACUGGGCGUAAAGCGCGUGCAGGCGGUUUUUUAAGUCACUGGUGAAAGCGCCCGGCUCAACUCGGGGAGGGCAUGUGAGACUGAAAAACUUGAGAGAGGGAGAGGCGAAUGGAAUUCCGGGUGGAGUGGUGAAAUGCGUAGAGAUCCGGAGGAACACCAGUGGCGAAGGCGAUUCGCUGGGCCUACUCUGACGCUCAGACGCGACAGCAUGGGGAGCGAACGG